Long non-coding RNA from Pollicipes pollicipes, 371 nucleotides. RefSeq lists it as uncharacterized. The record is from RefSeq and is a predicted model, not a curated record. Lineage: Eukaryota; Metazoa; Arthropoda; Thecostraca; Pollicipedomorpha; Pollicipedidae. The transcript has 4 exons.
UGAUGGCGGCAUCAGGUUUACGGCCUCUGAGGCCGAUGAGGGAACCUACGAAUGUAAAGCCAGCAAUACGUACGGCAAGACGACAGCGCCCCUCAGUCUCAAAGUCAGACAUCGCCCGAAGUCUUCGGCACAAAUGUUCAACGCGAGCGCUGUGGUCGGAGAUGACAUGACCCUGACCUGCGUGGUGCGGGGGCCCGACCGAAGCCGCGCGUCACGUGGUUCCGACACGGCCGCCAGAUUGACGAUGACACGGAGAAGUACAGUCGAACCAGUGGUCAUUCGCUGACCGUGCUGGACGUACAGCCGACCGACGCCGGCCUCUACAGCUGCGUGGCAAACAACUCCAUCGGUAGUCUCACCAAGCUGACCAC